AACGAACGCUGGCGGCAGGCCUAACACAUGCAAGUCGAACGCCCUAGCAAUAGGGAGUGGCAGACGGGUGAGUAACGCGUGGGAAUCUACCUUGUGGUACGGAACAACCAAGGGAAACUUUGGCUAAUACGGUAUGAGCCCUUCGGGGGAAAGAUUUAUCGCCAUAAGAUGAGCCCGCGUAGGAUUAGCUAGUUGGUGAGGUAAUGGCUCACCAAGGCGACGAUCCUUAGCUGGUCUGAGAGGAUGACCAGCCACACUGGGACUGAGACACGGCCCAGACUCCUACGGGAGGCAGCAGUGGGGAAUAUUGGACAAUGGGCGCAAGCCUGAUCCAGCCAUGCCGCGUGUGUGAUGAAGGCCUUAGGGUUGUAAAGCACUUUCGCCGAUGAAGAUAAUGACUGUAGUCGGAGAAGAAGCCCCGGCUAACUUCGUGCCAGCAGCCGCGGUAAUACGAAGGGGGCUAGCGUUGUUCGGAAUUACUGGGCGUAAAGCGUACGUAGGCGGAUUGUUAAGUGAGGGGUGAAAUCCCGAGGCUCAACCUCGGAACUGCCUUUCAUACUGGCAAUCUUGAGUCCGGGAGAGGUGAGUGGAACUCCUAGUGUAGAGGUGAAAUUCGUAGAUAUUAGGAAGAACACCAGUGGCGAAGGCGGCUCACUGGCCCGGAACUGACGCUGAGGUACGAAAGCGUGGGGAGCAAACAGGAUUAGAUACCCUGGUAGUCCACGCCGUAAACGAUGAGUGCUAAGUGUCGGGGGUGACCAACCCUCGGUGCUGUCGCUAACGCAAUAAGCACUCCGCCUGGGGAGUACGGCCGCAAGGCUG
Molecule: ribosomal RNA, 822 nt
Filed under: uncultured bacterium
Lineage: Bacteria
Description: bacterial SSU rRNA
Rfam family: Bacterial small subunit ribosomal RNA
Source: RNAcentral